UACGGAGGGGGCUAGCGUUGUUCGGAAUCACUGGGCGUAAAGCGCGCGUAGGCGGCUUUGUAAGUUAGAGGUGAAAGCCUGGAGCUCAACUCCAGAACUGCCUUUAAGACUGCAUCGCUAGAAUCGUGGAGAGGUGAGUGGAAUUCCGAGUGUAGAGGUGAAAUUCGUAGAUAUUCGCAAGAACACCAGUGGCGAAGGCGGCUCACUGGCCCGGUACUGACGCUGAGGUGCGAAAGCGUGGGGAGCAAACAGG
Molecule: ribosomal RNA, 253 nt
Filed under: uncultured bacterium
Lineage: Bacteria
Description: partial 16S ribosomal RNA
Rfam family: Bacterial small subunit ribosomal RNA
Source: RNAcentral